RNAcentral lists this small RNA (28 nucleotides) under Bombyx mori (domestic silkworm). Its description in RNAcentral is "ovarian small RNA-27936". Lineage: Eukaryota; Metazoa; Arthropoda; Insecta; Lepidoptera; Bombycidae. The record is from RNAcentral.
UCCUGGAGCGCAUAAGUGGUCGUCCGGU